GUAAGGUUGACGUCACAGGAAAAUACCAAGUUAUUUAGAUAACCGUUUGUUUCACAAUCUUGCCUUGGACUUUCGGGAAGAACAAGUAAACACAGGAUGUCGGGUGCAGAAUUUGCAGACCUAGUUCACGAAAUGAUGUACGUGCUUAAGGACGAAUUUGAUGUUGGAGAAAUUGACGAUGGUGAUGGGGACUAUUGUGAAACGCCCGAUGAUUGCAGACAUGAAGGAGAUAUUGUUGACGAUGAAGCAAGUCUUAUUCGUGAGCAAAUAGAACUAGACAUAGUUCGCCCGUUAAAUGUAAACGAUGGUCAAGGCAAUGAAGAAAACAACGUUGACAUUUCUCGUGAAAGUAAUGAUUUUUUCGAGAAUUCUUGCGAAAACAAUGACCAUAAUUGUAAUACCUUAUGCGGACGAAUUUUAAGAUUAAUGGGUGACGAAGAGAAUUGUCGAGUUUUGGGGAGACACUUGAGGAACAUUGGCGACGAUGUAUUUCACCGGCAGACAGCUAAAUAUAUGUUUGAACUGCUUGAAGAUUUGAUGGAACACGAUAAUCUUGAAACAGGGACAUUCUAAGUGAAUUACGGGUCCGUGCAUGGCCAAAGAAGAGUUCGCCACAUGUGCACUUUGCCCAAGUCGAAGGCUGUAUUGACACGGUGCGUUCUGCCGUACAUUUUCACUUAAUUGUUGCACAUGUUCAGUGAUGAAAAUUUUGUAGGAUUGUAUUAUAUAUGUCGUAUCUGAAAGAUGAUUCUAAUGAUAAUUAUGUACAGUUGUGAUGCUUUAUUUUUUAUUUAUGUAAAUUGUUUUGUGAUUAAAUGUAAUAAUUACCAA
Molecule: long non-coding RNA, 831 nt
Organism: Mya arenaria
Lineage: Eukaryota; Metazoa; Mollusca; Bivalvia; Myida; Myidae
Exons: 2
Source: RefSeq, a predicted model, not a curated record